Melozone crissalis (California towhee) is the source of this 2438-nucleotide long non-coding RNA. RefSeq lists it as uncharacterized. NCBI's taxonomy places the organism in Eukaryota, Metazoa, Chordata, Aves, Passeriformes, Passerellidae. The transcript has 4 exons. The record is from RefSeq and is a predicted model, not a curated record.
GGACCAUUGUGUAACAGGAAUGGUUCUCUCAGAACUGACUCAGGAAAUGGGUCUGGUGAGUGUCUUUUUUCCUUCUGCAAGGGAUGCUGGGACACGGGGAACUGUGGGAUACUGGAACUCCCUGUGCUGGCUUUGGCACGGAUAUUCUCCGGGUCCAGACUGAAAAUACUCCUUCAGGUUGGUGCAUGCCAGGAUGUCUGAAGUCUUGGGAAUAAAAGGUGACAACCGUGUUCUGGAAGCAUUUAUGACCAAAAAUGGUGUUGUCUGAAUUUGUCAGUCCCUGUGACUGCUCUUCUGGCAUUUUCUGUCAUUCCCACUGUUGCACUGGGGUGAGUGAUGUGGUCUGGGCAGUAUCCCUAAAGGUAAGGGGCUGGAAUUAGGCCUGUGUUACAGGUGGCUGUGUGAAGUGUGGAAACUGAACUGUUAAGCUCACACUAACUCUGCACAACCAGUUUAACACACAAAAGACUCCUCCUAAUUCCAUUUGUCACUUAGCUUCCCAGAGUUUGCCCAUGAAGAGAGAAGGGAGAGAAGCCCUAUAGCCAAGAGCCCUUAAAAGAACAUAAAUUAAAUUCCUACUCUGAAUUAGUCUCACGGGGAAUGAACGUGGGAGAAGCCUGCUGGCCUCAUUAGGGCCUAAAGAUGAGUAGGUGAGGGCUGAUCCUUGCGCAGAUUGCCAUUUCUAGAGAGUUGUCUACAGUUACUUGUUUGGGAUCACAACAAAACAAAAUCAAUCCAGGCUUGCAGGAUACCUUUCAGCUGUUGAUCUUUUUCCCUUCUCACAGCAACUUGUGUCUCCUAAACUCACAUAUUCUGGAACAAGUGAGGCAAUGUUACACAUAAUCCCAAUACAGCCCAGGUUCAUUUCCAGGGCAGCUUCAUUCUUUAUCCCAAAUAGGCAGAGGCAGGCAAAACAGUAUAUGAACAGAAAAGAUUGCCAUUUAAAUAUCAUAAACUGCACACGUGAAAGCAUCUAUUUUAAUAUUGUUUUAAAUUUACCAUUUUCUAACUGUUGAAUCUGGAUUUUCUUAUGUGAAUAUUCUUGUAGGGCAGCGAACAAAUGCUGCAGGUUAACAGAGGAAAUAUCAAAAGGAGAAAGGUGUGAAAUGUGGACAUGAACCAGUCUUGGAUACAAGUCGUUUGAAAUCAAUGAUUUGUGGUGUCUGUAGCUCAGUAAAAAUGUGUCCUAGCUCAGGUUUUUGUUCCUGUAGGUCCCAUGAAGUUCCCACGAUGUGAGAUUUCUCUGUGAAAGCCUCAGACCCUGACCCUUCUGAACACAUGCGAAGAUGAGGCCUUUGCUGGCUUGUUCUGGUUUCUUUUCCUGUAGGUGAGGAUGAGGACGAGUCUGAGAAUUUCCUGCUCCCCCCACAGCUUGAUUUAAGGCACCACUCAGAUACUCAGCAGUAGUUUUGAACAAGAAGAAGCAAAGGCAGGUUUAUUUCUAUUGCAGGGGAAGAAACAAUGUGUGGGAAGAGCUGAGAGUGGGGCAGGCAUUCAGCAGCCGCCUGGCACCUCUGCGCCCCUGUGCAUGUGUGUGGCUGUCUGUUCCUGAGUACAUCUGUUUUAUUGGGAAUUCACACAGCGCAGGUACAAAGGCUGUGAAAACUAUCCUAGAUAAACUUUGUACAAAGAUUUGCAAAGGCAUUGGGAUUUCUCCAGUGUUUUGCAGAUCAGGGGACCCCAUUUAAGGCUUAUUUAUAAUCAGAGACAGAUUUUUCUUCAGUGAUAGCUUAUCUGUUCCAUAUUCCCCUUUUCUAUCCUCUUUGUGUAUAUUUACAUAUUUAUUUGGGGGUAUGAGGAGACAUGUAACACACUUGAUAAAACACUGCUGGUUUAAAGUAUUUUUUUUCCAAACAAGAAUUUAUUAUAUAAAUCAAGACUUUAUUAAAUGGCUGGGCAUAUAUGUAUAAAUUGGAACGGGUCUUGAAGUAUUGCACCCUUAAACUGAACAAAGUGAUUAGGAUAACUGAUAGCUAAAUAAGGUUUUUAUGUGCCUGUGGGAGCCAUAUUAGGAUUGAUUUGACAAGGCAGUUCAGCUGUGGCAACAGUCAUAAUAUCUAACACAACAUUAUGUUUUAUUAGUAAAAUCCUUAAGUGUAGCAAGCUGUUUGUGUCAAAACAACAGUAUAUUUUAGGGAAGAAAAAGACUUACUGGAUACAAGGUGCAUCAUCAGGAAUGAUAAUGUAUUGGAGCACUCUUGCAUUAAAGAGAUCUUCUUCUGCCAUCACUGAAUCAAUAGCUAACUGCACACUGGAGUGCUCACUUCAGCUAAACAGGGGCAUUUUGAAGAAAUCCUAACAGUAAUUUUUAAUUUGCUAUUUUUAAAUAUGGUGGCAACUGAAAUACUGCUUCAUAAUAUUUAUCUGCUUUUUUCACAAGGAAAUAAACAGUUGUGCUGGAAGUAUUUGGUAAAUAAUUGGCUGCAGUAUGUGGCUGA